Molecule: ribosomal RNA, 873 nt
Filed under: Escherichia coli
Lineage: Bacteria; Pseudomonadati; Pseudomonadota; Gammaproteobacteria; Enterobacterales; Enterobacteriaceae
Description: partial 23S ribosomal RNA
Rfam family: Bacterial large subunit ribosomal RNA
Source: RNAcentral
GGUUAAGCGACUAAGCGUACACGGUGGAUGCCCUGGCAGUCAGAGGCGAUGAAGGACGUGCUAAUCUGCGAUAAGCGUCGGUAAGGUGAUAUGAACCGUUAUAACCGGCGAUUUCCGAAUGGGGAAACCCAGUGUGUUUCGGCACACUAUCAUUAACUGAAUCCAUAGGUUAAUGAGGCGAACCGGGGGAACUGAAACAUCUAAGUACCCCGAGGAAAAGAAAUCAACCGAGAUUCCCCCAGUAGCGGCGAGCGAACGGGGAGGAGCCCAGAGCCUGAAUCAGUGUGUGUGUUAGUGGAAGCGUCUGGAAAGGCGUGCGAUACAGGGUGACAGCCCCGUACACAAAAAUGCACAUAUUGUGAGCUCGAUGAGUAGGGCGGGACACGUGGUAUCCUGUCUGAAUAUGGGGGGACCAUCCUCCAAGGCUAAAUACUCCUGACUGACCGAUAGUGAACCAGUACCGUGAGGGAAAGGCGAAAAGAACCCCGGCGAGGGGAGUGAAAAAGAACCUGAAACCGUGUACGUACAAGCAGUGGGAGCCUCUUUAUGGGGUGACUGCGUACCUUUUGUAUAAUGGGUCAGCGACUUAUAUUCUGUAGCAAGGUUAACCGAAUAGGGGAGCCGAAGGGAAACCGAGUCUUAACUGGGCGUUAAGUUGCAGGGUAUAGACCCGAAACCCGGUGAUCUAGCCAUGGGCAGGUUGAAGGUUGGGUAACACUAACUGGAGGACCGAACCGACUAAUGUUGAAAAAUUAGCGGAUGACUUGUGGCUGGGGGUGAAAGGCCAAUCAAACCGGGAGAUAGCUGGUUCUCCCCGAAAGCUAUUUAGGUAGCGCCUCGUGAAUUCAUCUCCGGGGGUAGAGCACUGUUUCG